Callithrix jacchus (white-tufted-ear marmoset) is the source of this 6121-nucleotide non-coding RNA. Lineage: Eukaryota; Metazoa; Chordata; Mammalia; Primates; Cebidae. The record is from RefSeq and is a predicted model, not a curated record.
GCCUUUUCCUCCGUGCUGCUGGUGCUGCUGAGAUUCAUGGCUCGGGGUGGAGGAGCGGGAUGGCUGCGCAGCUGCAAGGAGGACGCCCGCAUGAGGCCUUGCGCCCCGACCCUCGGCUGGAGAAUGCCAGAGGCUAAGAGACAUCAACAGGUGAUUUGUGCCCCCUCUUGUCGGCAAAGGAGCGAACAGCCUGACGUUUGAAGUCUGGUGAAGCUGUGGAGGAUUUUAAUUAUGGCACCUGUGACUGGACUGCACUAGCCCCAUCUUCGGUGAGUUUCUUGCCUCUGAAAUUAUUUUUGUGGAAGGGAAGGGAGAGGUCUGGAGUUUUGCUGAUUAAUUAGCACUUCAAAAUAGGUGGGGAGAGGGGAUGCUCCUUCAAGUAUACAUGACGAAGUUAUUUUUGUGUCCCUUAACUACAGAAUCAGAAUUAAAGGGCCUGGGGACAUGUCAGAAGUGUAUGCAUAUUAAUGAAAACUCACCAUUUAAUAUUUGCUAGGCUUAGAGAUGGAAUUUCGCUAAGACAAAUCAACUUCAUUUGCCUUGUAGCCACCAGAGCACAACUUUUUGCCUUUGAAAUAACUGAGGACUGAGGCAGCUAUAGCAGUUCCCAGAAGGCUGAGACAGGUAGUAGAACAUACACAUAAGUAGACAAGAAUGCCACCCUGAGUCAUGGGAUGGACAUCUACACUAAGAUACCCGUACCUGUCUACUUAAUGCUUUCCUGUGUUUCUGGCAAUGAAGCUUCCUCAUACUCAGGUACUCUGAAUACACAGUGCAGGGGUUAGAAGUAGUCCCUCUUAACAAGUGUUCCUCAUUUGGUAAGUCUGACCUGUGAGUCUGCAAAAUAUUCCAUGGGGAUAACAUUUACCCUUGAACCUGUCACGGUCUAAUGAAGGAAACCCAGCCCACAUCAGAGAAGCUGAUGUCAGAACAUUAACACGACCAGGCUUUCUUCAAUGACUACUUGUCUGCUCGUAGCCAUGUUAUUAUCUGAGAGCUAAUAAGAGAGGUAGAGUGGCUUCCACUUUAUAGCAAUGGACAACAGCUUAUGAUUGGUUUUGCUGAGAGGAUAAAUCAACCAUAUCAUGCUAUUAGAAGAAACUGAGUGCAAUGAGAAACAAGUUAAUUCGAUCAGGUGGAGGGGCCCGUCAUUUACCAGCCUUUUAAGAAUGCCUCACACAUCUUCACGUGUUUUGAGUGAGACAUGUCCUUGGACACACACACUGGACAUGAUUGCUGAAACCAGGUCAGUAGAAACCAUUGAAGUUUAUUGGCGGUCACAAUGCUUACACUGUAUGCAGCAAACACCCUUACAAGUCUAUCCGCAACCUGAUCACGCAAGAAAGGAUUCAUCACACAGUCGCCAGAGGAGAAGGGAAAAAAAUUAACAGGCUUGUUUCUGGGGGUAGAGGAGAGAAAUAAAAAUAAAACCUAAUUGAUGAGUGUCCCGUGGGCAAGAGCUGAACUAGAGAUGUGUACAACUAGCAGCAACAAUUGUGGAAAAAGUACAAGGCAAAUAGCUUUCUCCAUUAAUUUUCCUCUGUAGGUUAAUUUUUUUUAAUAUUCAAAACAUUUAUUAUGGUUUUCAUUUUAUAAAAAUGUAUAUUUUUAAGGGGUGGGAGAAUGUUAAAUACUUCAUGCUAGGUAGACCUUGUUAUUAAGAACCCCUCCACUGUAGUAACUUCCUCCAGUUCAUACAUUCAUGAGUGCAGGGUACAUAUAUAAAUAUCCACACGCACACAUCCACACACACUGCCUCGAGGGCUGGGGAAGACUGAAAUUUAUUGGCCACACACAGCAGGGCCUCCGGUGGACUCACCCACAUUGCUCCAUAGAAGAGCAGUGGGCUCACUUCCUUCUCUCUGUUCUCUACCUUCACAGAGACCAAGAACCCUACAACAUGUCGUUAAAUCCAACUUUUAAAAGCAAGAGGCAUCUGUCUGAGGAUGAGGGUAAGCAAAGUGGGAAAGAGGAUGGAGUUAAGAACACCAAACACUUUUAGCUGGAGUUAUUUGUCACUGCAAGGGGCCAGGGACUCAGGGCAGAACCUAUACGGUCCAAGGGGAGGGACAGUGUUCUGGCAUGGCUUAGAGUUCCUAAUAACAAGGGUUAAUACAGUAACAGGAAGUGAUUACUUCUGGGUGAGGACAGGGCAAUACGAAAAAAUAUACAUUUGGAAUUUUAGCUUUUUUUUCUUUUCUUUUGCCUCUCUACUGUGUCACUAAAUAUAUCUCUGCACUCUCACACAUCCUUGUCCAGUAAAGCUUCAGGCCACCAGAAUACACAUUUUCUUCACUCGCAUACACAACCCCUCACAUCAGCAUUGGUGCACUAGACUCUGUAAAAAUUUUUCAGUCACACUUUUUGUUUUUAAACUUGAGUCAAUAUAAACCUUGUUCAAAAUGUUAUGAAAAAAUGUACAUGUUUAUACAAGGCAGGUUGUGGCAGGACACUAGGGGUUCUCCCCACUUGGGUGGCCCCAGGAGGAGGGGCUGGAGUCUCAGUUUGUGUUUCUUAUCUCCUCCCACCACCCUUCCCACCCAGUCCCCCAGGAACCAGCAUCGCCCUGCCCCCCCAAUGAGUGCACUCACACCCCUAUUCCCUGGGGAAGUAGCUAGUUGACUUUUGCCAUUUUCCCCACACCCCUGGAGGAAGGAGCCAGGAUCAGCCAGGCCCUCUCCCUUGCAAUUGUUCGCCCCUCUGGGCCAAACCAAAGGGACGCUGCUCUGUACAGGUAGAGUCCAAGGAGGUGUCAGCUCAUCAUGUCAUUGCUAUUCACGCCGUAAGUGGAAUUCUUCAUCGAGUCAUUGACUUCUCGACGGAAUGCUGACAGGUUCUGGGUGAACCUGCAGAGAGGAUGCAUGUGGGUUGGCGGAGGAGGGUGUGAGGGAAACGUAUUUGCCUAGAAUUUUUUUUUUUUAACACAGGAAGUAGAAUGCAUGAAUUGAUGGGUUCUGUUUCAAAGAUCAGUUAAUCUCAGUCUUAGGACUCUAAGGGAAAGUUGGCCUAGAGAUCUGGUGAAGUCUGGAGCCCUGAGGGCUACCUUGGGCUCAUGGCAACAGAAAAGAAAUUUCACUGACAGAGGUAAGAAGUUACCCUCACAAAGUGAGGCAGUAAGUGAACGACACCGUUUCAUUUCUUAAUGCAGCAAAACCCGUUGGUGUAGUGCCAUGCUGUCCAAUAGGGUGGCUGCCAACCACACAUGGCUAUUGAGUACCUAAAUUAGGGCCAGUGUGACUGAGGAAAUGAUUCCAAAUUGAAUACAGUUAACAUUCAGCUCCUCAACUGCAUCUUAAUUUUAAAUUAAAAUGCCUUAAAUUAAAAUAAAAUUUAAAAAUUGUCAAGCCUAGAUAAUGCAGUUACUGAAAAAUCCCUAGCUGUUUAAAACAAUCUGGGUAUUGGAAUCUACUUUGUCAAUUGUAAAUUUAUGAAAUCUAAAUACAAAUCAAGUAUUUCUGAUGAAAAUGUAUGAAUUAGGCUGGGCGUGGUGGCUCACGCCUGUAAUCCCAGCACUUUGGGAGGCCAAGCCGGGUGGAUCACGAGGUCAAGUGAUGAGACCACCCUGGCCAUGGUGGAACUCGCCUCUACUAAAAAUACAAAAAAAUUAGCUGAGCGUGGUGGCACGCGCCUGUGGUCCCAGCUAUUCAGGAAGCUGAGGUGGAAGAAUUGCUUGAACCCAGCAGGCAGAGGUUGCAGUGAGCUGAGAUUGGGCCACUGCACUCCAGCCUGGUGAUUGAGCAAGACUCUGUCUCAAAAAAAAAAAAAAAAAGUAUGAAAAAGGUAGUACAAUAAAAAGAAUGUGAAAACCCACAAUUUAAAAAUACUAAUUACACAUUGAUACAAUAUUUUGGAUACACUGGGUUAAACAAAGUAUAUUAUUAAAAUGAAUUUUGCCUGUUUAACAUGGCUCGCUUUUCUAUUGGAUAGCACUGCUUUAGAUGGCCUCCAAACACAGAUAAAGACUUUAAGGGAACUUCCUGUUUUGUUGAUGUGGUUAUAAAUAACAACUGUCUGAGAUUUCUAGGCAGGACACUCUAUACUCACCUGUCUCUGUUUUUCGUAAGAAGAUUUCGUUCGAUGCCUUCCAUCAAGUUCUCAAAACACAGAUGCAUGGCCUGCUGUUUCUCUGGUGGCUGGCUGUUCACAAUACUGUUCCUUAGGUCAGAAAAAUACUGUGGGGCAAGGAGUGGAACAGAAGGUAAGAGACGCAGGGAAAGGCAGAUUAACCCUCCAUCACUGUCAGGGAUGAGAAAUGUUCUUCUCUAAGGAGUAAUGGAGUAUCUACUAAAACUGGACACUUAAAAAACUUCAGGCAAGUCCUUCCAGGAUAAUAUGUCUUCAUCUUACUAAAAAAUCAAGAAUUUUUAAUUUGUAAAGCACUUUAAAAGGGUCAUGUAACCAGCCCUUUCUUUUAUAGGAAUCUUAAGACUUGUUUGUGGUAGAGCUAGAAAUGGAACAGGUCUUAGGCCCUCUGAUACGCAAGUACCUUACUUCCUUAAAAGGUUUCUCUUACUGCCUUGGGGGGAAACACUCCUUUACCCUGUGUCUGUGAGCUACCACACAUGCUGACUUCUAACAAUUAAGUGACUGUGUGAUACUGAAAACACGAAUGGGACAUGCUCAGUAAAUGACCCAUUUUCCCUGUUUCACCAUCCUGGAGUGUUUCUAUACCCAUUUCUCUCCGUGCCUGGUGAUAGCAAGUGUGUGGUCUUCUGGGUUGGCACCAAGGAGUUCGCGCUCUCACCUUUUCAUUAAGUAAUAUCAAGCCAAGUAGGGGUCGGGACAUAGACCACUGGUUCCUACAGUCUUCAAAGAUGAUGAUGUUCAGCACCGUGGACAGCAUCUGAAAACGGAGGAUUUGAGGCAGUGACCUAUGUACAGCUACCCAAGAUAAAACGACAGAUUCCAAAAUACAGGAUUAUAUUAGACUGAAGGCCUUUUCGGUGUAGGGUAAGUCUGACAAAUAGUUUGUGAAGCUUCAUCUGAGUCUUCUAUUUCAAGAUAACCUUUUCUUCUAAGAUAUUCAUUUCCUUUCCUGUUCUUAAAAUUGGUUUGAUAAUUUCACUUACAAAUGGAUCUUUCCAGUUCACCCUGACUUGUGGGGAAUGGGAUGGGGUCACAUAAACAAAAUUACACUAGGCAAAACCAACCUGCAUGAUCCCUUCCAGGUACCUGGAGUUGAUAGUUUAAUGAUAGUUUGUGGAUAAAUAAUGAUAUUUCACUGCCCCUCACUUUUUUUUUUUUUUUUAAGAUGGAGCCUCACUCUGUUGCCCAGGCUGGAGUGCAGUGGUGCAAUUUUGGCUCACUGCAACUUCUGUCUCCUGGGUUCCAGCAAUUCUCUCGCCUCAGCCUCCUGAAUAGCUGACGUUACAGGCCCGUGCCACCAUGCUCAGCUUAUUUUUUAUAUUUUUAGUAGAGAUGGGGCUUCACUGUGUUAGGAUAAUCUUGAUCUGCUGACCUCGUGAUCCACCCAUCUUGGCCUCCCAAAAUACUGGGAUUACACACCUGGCUAUGUCACUGCUUCUUUAGAGAACAGUGUGGACAAAGAUUUUCUAUAUCCAGGGAUUGAUUACUUGGCAAACUCAAACUCCACUGCAACUUGAAGAAACAAACUUCAUCUCAGCAGCAGGAACCUGAUGAGAUGUUAGGUUAAUCAUGUGUGGCCUCCCCUGUCUUGCAGAGGUCCUUCCUCUGUCGGACACUCCAUCACUGCCUCCUAAGCCUCCACUUUCUUACCUGCUGGAUCAUCUCUGGAUGCUGCUGCAUGAUGUGCAGAAAGCGGUCGCUCUCCUGGUUCAGGGGUGUGGUCCUCUUCUUGGUGCUACGUGACAGCUGCUUGAAGAGGUAUGUCACUAUGUGGUCCAGGCAGGAGCAGCAGCCUGUGCAUACCAUGGUGUCUGCAAGAAAGAAAGGUAGGAGUAGGACAGCUGCUGCAGAUGACCUGGGCAAAUAUGGACUAUCUUUGGCUGAGAUCCACUAGGGUCCAGUGGCCAAUUCAGCCAAGGCCAUUGGUCAAGACUCCUUGUUAACCUCUUAUCCUCAUUGUAUAGCUGGGCUCAAUUUCCAAGUUUGAAAGUGAGUAUUGGUAAUAUAUAUAAAUAAAGAAUACCGAAAUUACUGU